CCGUCUUUAGCUCAGUUGGUAGAGCGUGAGACUGUAAUGGUUAACUUUCAUCUCAAUGUCACCUGUUCGACCCAGGUAAGACGGA
Molecule: non-coding RNA, 85 nt
Organism: Mycena galericulata
Lineage: Eukaryota; Fungi; Basidiomycota; Agaricomycetes; Agaricales; Mycenaceae
Source: the annotation of a GenBank genome assembly